UGAGGAAUAUUGCACAAUGGGCGCAAGCCUGAUGCAGCGACGCCGCGUGUGGGAUGAAGGGGCUACGCCUCGUAAACCACUGUAGCCCGGGACGAAAAACGCCUUAGAGGCGUUAGACGGUACCGGGAAAGUAAGGGUCGGCUAACUACGUGCCAGCAGCCGCGGUAAUACGUAGGACCCAAGCGUUGUCCGGAUUUACUGGGUGUAAAGGGUGCGUAGGUGGGCAGAUAAGUCAGUGGUGAAAUCUUCCGGCUUAACCGGGAAACUGCCGUCGAUACUAUUUGUCUUGAAUAUUGCGGAGGUAAGCGGAAUAUGUCAUGUAGCGGUGAAAUGCUUAGAUAUGACAUAGAACACCAAUUGCGAAGGCAGCUUACUACACAAUCAUUGACACUGAGGCACGAAAGCGUGGGUAGCGAACA
RNAcentral lists this ribosomal RNA (419 nucleotides) under uncultured bacterium. RNAcentral describes it as "bacterial SSU rRNA". It matches the Rfam family "Bacterial small subunit ribosomal RNA", at positions 355 to 774 of the family's 1533-position model. The record is from RNAcentral.